Molecule: long non-coding RNA, 289 nt
Filed under: Salvia miltiorrhiza (redroot sage)
Lineage: Eukaryota; Viridiplantae; Streptophyta; Magnoliopsida; Lamiales; Lamiaceae
Description: long non-coding RNA (SMIL_LNC003821)
Source: RNAcentral
CCCAAAUCGAUGAAGAUUUUCCUGAGGUUUGGCCAGUCCGCCAUGCCUUACCCCAGUCCGCCGCGUCUUCCGGCAUUCCGCUGCGCUCCGACUUCGGCUCGUCGAAGGCGUACGAAUGUUUCUGUCACUCUUCAUUUUAGCUUCAGCCGGAGCUUCUGCUGUUCUGAGAAAAAUUGGUAAUGGCUACCGCUUGAUUUCCAUCCAGGAGAACUCUCUGCCUCAGUCCUUCCAUCUCCUCGACAAAGCCUUCCAAUCCGGAAUCAAUUUCUUCGACUCCGCCGAAAUGUAC